Molecule: ribosomal RNA, 240 nt
Filed under: uncultured bacterium
Lineage: Bacteria
Description: partial small subunit ribosomal RNA
Rfam family: Bacterial small subunit ribosomal RNA
Source: RNAcentral
AGAAUCAACGCUGGCGGCGUGCCUAACACAUGCAAGUCGAACGAGAAAGUGGAGCAAUCCAUGAGUACAGUGGCGCACGGGUGAGUAACACGUGACUAACCUACCCUGGAGUGGGGGAUAACUGAGGGAAACCUUAGCUAAUACCGCAUAAUACCUACGGGUCAAAGGAGCAAUUCGCUUUGGGAGGGGGUCGCGGCCGAUUAGUAGUUGGCGGGGUAAUGGCCCACCAAGACAGUGAUC